CGGGCCUCGGCCUCCCCUUGGGCGCGGCCCUGAGCGUGCGGCUCGAGGCCCCGGGCCCGGGAGGGUCGCGGGGAGGCGGGGGGUCGGCCCUGACCGGCGGAGCCCUCCCGGUUUCAGAUAAGACGGGCGGCAAGAAGUUCUCUAAGGAGUUCGAGGAGGCCAGUUCGAAGCUGGAGGAGUUCGUCAACGGGCUGGACAAGCAGGUGAAGAACGGGCCCUCGCUGACGGAGGCGCUGGAGAACGCCGGCGUCUUCUACGAGGCUCAGUACAAGGAGGUCAAGGUGGUGGCCAACGCCUAUAAGACGUUCGCCAACCGCGUGAACAACCUGAAGAAGAAGCUGGACCAGCUGAAGUCGACCCUCCCGGACCCCGAGGAGUCGCCGGUGCCUCGCCCAGCGUGACGCGCCCUCGGCCCACGGGCUCCGAGUCCCCGUUCCAGGGCAUGGGGGGAGAGGCUUCGCCCUCGCCGGCCGCCGAGAGCGAGAGGGUCGGGCUCGCGGCCCCCGCCACGGACAACCCGCGACGUGGAGGACAUGGAGCUGUCCGACGUGGAGGACGACACGGCCAAGAUCAUCGUGGAGGACCGGAAGGAGAAGCCGGCGGCGGAGAAAGCCGGCGGGCCCGCGCCCGCCCCCGCGCCCGCCAAGCCGGCCGACUGCCCCCGAAGCCGGCGCCCGGCCCCCCGGCCCCCACCCCGGCGGCCUCGUCGCCGACCCCGCCGCCCCCGAAGCCGGCCGCCCCGGCGCCUCUGCCGCCGUCCCCCGCCCUGGCCCUGCCCAACCUGGCCAACGUGGACCUGGCCAAGAUCAGCUCCAUCCUCAGCAGCCUCACGUCCGUCAUGAAGAACACGGGUAAGGGCCCCCGCGGGGGACGGGGAGCGGCGCUCUCGGGCCGGGAGGGGGCGGGGGCGGGGGCGGGGGGGGGACCCCCCGAGGGCCGGGCGCAGGCCGGGUCCGCUCCCGGACCCUCCCUCCCACCCGAAACGGCGCCCGCCCCCCC
RNAcentral lists this long non-coding RNA (999 nucleotides) under Ornithorhynchus anatinus (platypus). RNAcentral's name for it is "lncRNA (ENSOANG00000044005.1)". Lineage: Eukaryota; Metazoa; Chordata; Mammalia; Monotremata; Ornithorhynchidae. The record is from RNAcentral.